UCAAAAAAAAAAAUUUUAGGGUUUGUUAUAUUUACUCAAAUUAGGGAUUUCCAAAUUUUUGAUCAUAUUGUUUCCAAUUGGUUUGAAUAGGUGAAGAAGAAGGAAGAUUUGCAAGAGAUUUCAACUCUGAUUUAGAGGCUACCCAAAUCAGACAUCCUCCAGAUCGUGCGGGAUAGUGUUUUGUUGGGUUGUGCCACGGUGUAGCAUCUUUUGUGGAUGUUUUCAUUUGCACGCAUCUAUAUAAAUUUUUUGUUGUUUUUUUUUUUAUAAACUUGUGAAAUGUUGAAAGGCCGGAGGCCUAAUUACAAUAUUCUCAUGACUUUUGAAAUGAGUAAAGAUGUAAAUUAUUUUGUCAUGUAUAUGAUAAGGCCGGAGGCCUGAUUACAGGUUUAUUUUAUGAUUUCUUGGCUUUAAUCAGGAUGUAUUAUGACAUAUACUUAUACAAAGGCCGGAGGCCUAUAGAUGAUAUUA
Long non-coding RNA from Mangifera indica (mango), 471 nucleotides. RefSeq lists it as uncharacterized. The transcript is spliced from 2 exons. The record is from RefSeq and is a predicted model, not a curated record. NCBI's taxonomy places the organism in Eukaryota, Viridiplantae, Streptophyta, Magnoliopsida, Sapindales, Anacardiaceae.